Molecule: ribosomal RNA, 253 nt
Filed under: uncultured bacterium
Lineage: Bacteria
Description: partial 16S ribosomal RNA
Rfam family: Bacterial small subunit ribosomal RNA
Source: RNAcentral
UACGUAGGGGGCAAGCGUUGUCCGGAUUUAUUGGGCGUAAAGAGCGUGUAGGCGGCCAUGUAGGUCCGUUGUGAAAACUCGAGGCUCAACCUCGAGACGCCGAUGGAAACCAUGUGGCUAGAGUCCGGAAGAGGAGAGUGGAAUUCCUGGUGUAGCGGUGAAAUGCGCAGAUAUCAGGAGGAACACCAAUAGCGAAGGCAGCUCGCUGGGACGGUAUUGACGCUAAGGCGCGAAAGCGUGGGGAGCAAACAGG